RNAcentral lists this ribosomal RNA (449 nucleotides) under uncultured bacterium. RNAcentral describes it as "partial 16S ribosomal RNA". It matches the Rfam family "Bacterial small subunit ribosomal RNA", at positions 354 to 796 of the family's 1533-position model. The record is from RNAcentral.
GUCGAGAAUCUUUCACAAUGGGGGCAACCCUGAUGGAGCGACGCCGCGUGGAGGAUAAGGUCUUCGGAUUGUAAACUCCUGUCAUGCGUGAACAAGGUUGCUUGGUUAAAACCUGGGCAAAUUGAUGGUAACGCAAGAGGAAGAGACGGCUAACUCUGUGCCAGCAGCCGCGGUAAUACAGAGGUCUCAAGCGUUGUUCGGAAUCACUGGGCGUAAAGGGUGCGUAGGUGGCGUGGUAAGUCAGAUGUGAAAGCCCGGGGCUCAACCUCGGAACUGCAGCCGAUACUGCCAUGCUAGAGUACUGGAGAGGUGACUAGAAUUCUCGGUGUAGCAGUGAAAUGCGUAGAUAUCGAGAGGAAUACCAAAGGCGUAGGCAGGUCACUGGACAGUUACUGACACUGAGGCACGAAGGCCAGGGGAGCGAACGGGAUUAGAUACCCUGGUAGUCC